UACACAGUUAAAACUGCUAAACAUAAAUUACUACCAACCCCCCCAACAAAAAAACUCUGAUAAGCAAACCCCCAAUAACCACUGACAACUAAAAUGAACGAAAAUUUAUUUACCUUAUUCGCAACUCCUAUAAUUCUAAACCAACCUGCUACAAUCCCCAUCAUUAUAUUCCCCGUAUUACUAAUCCCAACCUCCAAACAUCUCAUUAACAACCGACUAAUCACCAUUCAACGUAACCUAGUACUACUCACUCUAAAGCAAAUAAUAAUAACCCACAAUGCUAAAGGGCGAACCUGAUCUUUAAUACUAAUAUCCCUAAUUAUCUUUAUUACCACAACUAACCUUCUGGGACUCCUACCCCACUCAUUUACACCUACCACCCAACUAUCUAUAAACCUAGCUAUAGCAAUCCCCUUAUGAGCCGGCACAGUGAUUACAGGCCUUCGCUUUAAAACCAAAAACUCCCUAGCUCACCUCCUACCACAAGGCACACCAACAUUACUUAUCCCCAUACUAGUAAUAAUCGAAACCAUUAGCCUGAUCAUUCAACCAGUAGCCCUGGCUGUACGCUUAACUGCUAACAUUACGGCCGGUCACCUGCUAACACACCUAAUUGGAAACGCCACACUAACACUACUAACUAUCAGCCCCCCCGCUGCUUCGCUGAUCUUCAUACUCCUAAUACUACUUACCAUCCUAGAGGUCGCAGUUGCUUUAAUCCAGGCCUAUGUUUUCACACUUCUAAUCAGCCUCUAUUUGCACAACAACACCUAAUGACUCACCAAUCCCAUGCUUAUCACAUAGUCAAACCCAGUCCCUGACCACUAGCAGGAGCUCUAUCAACCCUCCUAAUAACAUCCGGCUUAGCCAUGUGGUUUCACUUCUAUUCUACCACUCUAUUGACACUAGGCCUACUAACCACAACACUAACCCUCCACCAAUGAUGACGUGACAUCGUACGAGAAAGCACCUAUCAAGGACAUCACACGACACCCGUUCA
Molecule: non-coding RNA, 1000 nt
Organism: Chlorocebus sabaeus (green monkey)
Lineage: Eukaryota; Metazoa; Chordata; Mammalia; Primates; Cercopithecidae
Source: RefSeq, a predicted model, not a curated record